This 27-nucleotide non-coding RNA is filed under the name Mus musculus (house mouse). The record is from RNAcentral. Lineage: Eukaryota; Metazoa; Chordata; Mammalia; Rodentia; Muridae.
AGGAAAAGGAAAAAGCGUUGUUGUCAA